This 125-nucleotide non-coding RNA is filed under the name Karlodinium veneficum. Lineage: Eukaryota; Dinophyceae; Gymnodiniales; Kareniaceae. The record is from RNAcentral.
GAGAGACCUUAUACCUUUGCAGAGGAUGAUCAGAGACUACCACAACAAGAAUUUAGAAGAUGCGAUAGGCGAAGAUGACAAGAAUAAGCUGCUUAAAGCGAUUCAAGCCAUAGAACAAGAGGAAG